Long non-coding RNA from Cebus imitator (Panamanian white-faced capuchin), 1046 nucleotides. RefSeq lists it as uncharacterized. NCBI's taxonomy places the organism in Eukaryota, Metazoa, Chordata, Mammalia, Primates, Cebidae. The record is from RefSeq and is a predicted model, not a curated record. The transcript has 3 exons.
UUCUCUCAUUUUGCCUUCUGGAUCUCCAUGCUCCUUUAUACCAACAAACAAGAGGGAGAAUAUUCUCUCUAUCCACUUCGUUAAAUGAAGCCUGCUCUUUUAUGAAGGCAUGGCAUCUCUUCCAACUAUGUCAAACAGAAGCAAUUUAUGGGGAGAUGCUGCCCUUGUCUAAGAAAACACCCCCUCUACAGAUAUAGGCAUUCUGUCCUGGGACCUGCGUUAGAACUACUACUAGGCACCCUUCAAUUGAUGUGAAGCCACUCUGGUUACCUUAUCUUAUCCUAGCUCAGACAGAGAACUGAUCAAACAUCUUAUAACCACUGAGAUUGUUGAUGAGUACAAUUGAAGACUCAGGGAGGAAAUAUAAUUCCUUUCAAAUUAAUUAAUUAAAAUUAUAAAUGGACUUCAUGGAAGUGAAAGAGAACUAUUCAUAGAACUAAUAAAAUGUUAUCAAUGCACCCAUUUAAGAAGAAUGUUUGUUACACCUUUGUUCCAGCAGUACAUAUGCCAUAUGUGAAAUCUCAAAGGAGAUUAUCAUUGCCCGCCCGCAGUACAAAAAUAAUCAAAGCACAGUAGUGAAGCAAUACAGCUUUUGAGACAGACCAAAGUUUGAAUUCUGACUCAGCCUCCUAAUAAUGUUGUAGACUUGGAGAGAUAAUUUUACACCAAGUUUUAGCAUUUUAAAAAAAAAACAAUUAUUAAGGUAAUACUGCUUACUUAAUACUUAUAUAAAGAUUAAGAAUAACAUGGAAAAUGCCAAAUACAGUGGCAGAAACAAAAGGAGCUUUAAGAAGUAGUAACUAUUAGUGCUGUUGACAAGCACACUAUAUGACUCUGAUUUAAACACAGAGAAAGUAAAAUGGAUACGAAAGCCUCCUGUUCUCAAGGCAAAGAAAAGUUUUGGUCUGAAAUACUGUAGAUAGCACUGAGCAGAGUGAAGAAAAAUGGUUCUAUAUCUCACAUUGUAACAAUGGUCUACUUACAUUUUAUUUAGACUAGAGGCUACUUGCCUUAUCAAAUAUAUCAAGCACUCAGCAAAGUUUAAA